RNAcentral lists this transfer RNA (74 nucleotides) under Mycoplasma nasistruthionis. RNAcentral's name for it is "tRNA-Thr". It matches the Rfam family "tRNA". From Rfam's summary of the family: Transfer RNA (tRNA) molecules are approximately 80 nucleotides in length. Their secondary structure includes four short double-helical elements and three loops (D, anti-codon, and T loops). Lineage: Bacteria; Bacillati; Mycoplasmatota; Mollicutes; Mycoplasmatales; Mycoplasmataceae. The record is from RNAcentral.
GCCAUUUUAGUUUAGUGGUAAAACAGUUGACUCGUAACCAACCGACACGAGUUCGAUUCUCGUAAAUGGCACCA